Corvus hawaiiensis (hawaiian crow) is the source of this 242-nucleotide long non-coding RNA. RefSeq lists it as uncharacterized. The transcript has 2 exons. Lineage: Eukaryota; Metazoa; Chordata; Aves; Passeriformes; Corvidae. The record is from RefSeq and is a predicted model, not a curated record.
AAAACGCGACUUGGGGUGGUUGGAGAGCUCAAAACUCAACUCGAGAUGGUUGGAGAUCCCAAAAAACCCGACUCGGGAUGGUUGGAGAGCCUCAAACCCAACUCGAGAUGGUUGGAGACCCUCAAGACUCGACCCAAGAUGGUUGGAGAGCCUCAAAACCCAACUCGAGAUGGUUGGAGAUCCCAAAAACUCAACUUGGGGUGGUUGGAGAGCUCAAAACGCGACUUGGGGUGGUUGGAGAC